AAUAGCUCCUUUGUGCUCUGUCUUCUGUCUUCAUGGAUGAGUUGGUCUAUCAUUCCCAGUUCUUAACUGCUCCUUCCAGAUCUAGCCAAUUAGCAUCCUUGGCUUCUGUAUCCAUGAAAUACUAAAGAAAGAAUGAAAUCCACCCUAAGAAGUGGGACUAUAAGACAAGAGUAACAUUGGAGAUUGAAUUCAAUGCUGAUGGUAUAAAGGAUUUAAACAAGAGAAGAUAUAGUCACUACGUUUCCAAUUAGACCUCCCUGGAGAAAAACUGGGGCAGAAAAACCAUAGUUCUUUCAUGUAUCAUGGACUUCUGCCAAGUCACCAAAGUUCACUACAGAACUAUGACAAUGGAGGCCAGAGUUGGUGGAAAGUGUAUUUUGCCCUUGUCAAUGACAAAGAAUGAAGUGAGCAAUCUUAGGAUGCCAUUUGGCUAUCACUGGCCCUAGAAGUCUUGCCUCCACAGUCUAUGGGAGUUCUGCAAGUCUGAGAAGAGAAGGUUGAAUAAUGAAUGCUACAGAAGUCACUGAGGUGGAAGCACAGCAGUUGUGAGGCAUUGAUGCUGCUUAAGUGUGGGGAGAAGAACCUGGAGGGAAACGAUGCUUUCUGAAGUGAGCCAUCUUCUCGAGCUCUUGAGCAGAUUUCAAAAUUGAAGAGCUUUGAAUUUUCAAGUACUUAUAUUACAAAAUCCUAUGUGGAUCUAAGAUCUUUGUCUGGAACAUGAACAUCUUGGAAUUUUAUUAUAUAUUGAUCAUUUUAUAUGUCAGAAACCCCAAGUCUAGAUAUGUCUAAGAUGGAACAUUUUGAAAUGUUUGUCAGUGUUAAAACUGAUUAUCAGAACUUAGUUCCCUCACCUUUGUCUAGAACAUGCUUUAAAAAAUAUUAUUACUUGGCAUUGUUAUUUGUCGAUAUAUGUUUUGCUUUAUUUUAUCUUUGAACUGUGCUUCUGACUAUUUUGACUAUUUUACAAUGGUUAAGAUGUUUGUAAAUACAAUGAAAGU
This is a long non-coding RNA of Onychomys torridus (southern grasshopper mouse), 998 nucleotides long. RefSeq lists it as uncharacterized. The record is from RefSeq and is a predicted model, not a curated record. The transcript is spliced from 5 exons. NCBI's taxonomy places the organism in Eukaryota, Metazoa, Chordata, Mammalia, Rodentia, Cricetidae.